Molecule: ribosomal RNA, 382 nt
Filed under: uncultured eukaryote
Lineage: Eukaryota
Description: partial 18S ribosomal RNA
Rfam family: Eukaryotic small subunit ribosomal RNA
Source: RNAcentral
UGUAAGCGUAUACCAAAGUUGUUGCAGUUAAAACGCUCGUAGUCGGAAUUUGGCAGUUCCGGAAGUGUGCACAUCGUGUGCGCACUUUGCGGGGACUGCUUUUGUGGUCUUGCGUAGGAUGAGGCACUUUCAUUAGUGAACGUCCUCACGCAACCACUCUUUACUGUGAGAAAAUCAGAGUGCUCAAAGCAGGCAUUUGCCGUGAAUGUAUUAGCAUGGAAUAAUAGAAUAGGACUCGGUUCUAUUUUGUUGGUUUGUUGGGACUGAGUAAUGAUUAAGAGGGACAGUUGGGGGCAUUUGUAUUCCGGCGCUAGAGGUGAAAUUCUUAGAUUGCCGGAAGACAAACUGCUGCGAAAGCGUCUGCCAAGGAUGUUUUCAUUGA